Ziziphus jujuba (common jujube) is the source of this 3794-nucleotide long non-coding RNA. RefSeq lists it as uncharacterized. Lineage: Eukaryota; Viridiplantae; Streptophyta; Magnoliopsida; Rosales; Rhamnaceae. The record is from RefSeq and is a predicted model, not a curated record. The transcript is spliced from 3 exons.
AGAGAGUUGGGUGAUGAUGAUAAGAAAAACAAAAACCAAUGAAAGCAAAACAAAGCAAAAGCCAAUUGUUAUAAUGAAAUGACCCUUGUCUCUCGCUCUCUCUCUCUCUCAUCCUUUUUUUUCUCUUUAUCUCUCAUAUUAAAGACCCCCUCUCUAUCUCUCUCUCUCUCUCUCUCUCUCUCUUGUACAUUGCAGCAGGAGGGUCUCUUGAAACUUUCCUUAUUUGACCGAGGGGUGUAGGUGAUGUGGGUGCGGUGUGUAAAAUUUUUCUGAAGUCGCUGCCGGCACUGUGGAUUAAUUCGGGUUCAGUUUUUGAGCUAAAUUAGAGCUUCCCCACCUCAGCCAGAUCGUUGGACCGAAAAAAGAACAAAAUCAAAUCCGAGUUGGGAUGGAUUUUGGAGAAACGUAAUUCUUUCCUUGAUGCAAAUUUCUCCAACAGGUUUGGAUGGAUGAAACAUCGAAAAGCAAAUUAAAUAGGUCGUAUUUUAUGAUUUGUGAUUUAUGAUAUUUUUCUCAUUUUAUGGCAUUAUUUCGGGUCUUGAAUCUUUCAGACGAUAUUACCAUUUGCAAUAUAUAGCUAUUGUUUGGCCUUAAAGGAUGUGCAUAGCAUAAUCUUGUACAUCUUUUAGUUGCUCCGCACCAUCUCUUUACUCUUAUUACCCCAAAAAAAAAAAAGCACCAUGUCUUUACUCUUUAGAUGCCAUAGCGAUUCUUGUAUCCGAGCUUUUUCUCCUAUUGAUAGAAAAUUUCCAUAUAUAUAACUCCAUAUAAUUAUAAAUGUAUAUAAUUUUGUUAUAAAAGGUGUAUAUAUUAGAUUAUAUGUUAUUUGCUAUCCGGUUAUAUAAAAAAACAUAGCGGCGUACAUAUAAUCAAAUAUACAUGCAUUUUAUAGCAAAAUUUUAUAUACAUAUUUAUAUCCUUUUUAAAUCAGUAUAUUUUAUAUGCAUAGUUAUAUCAAUAUAGCUAUUUGUCUUGGAUUUAAAAGAUUUAGCUAAGUUGCUCUUUUUAGUGGAAGUAGUGUAACAGUACAAUUAGAAUACCACAAUGAAAGUGUUAUUCUUAUAUGUAAACUAUAUUCUAUCUUAAUUUAUUGUUAAUUAGGAUAUGCCCAAGAUUGGAAUAUGAAACAUGCCAUGAAUUUUAUUUAAAAUGUGUAUUUAAUGAUAGAACAGAUUAUAAUUUUUUAAGGUUGUGAUCACUUCAAUUCAGAGAUGAUCAUGAGCAAAAUGGAACUAUAGGUGCUAUAUAUAUGGAUUGACUAGACAAUUAUUUUAUGGAAGAGAUGUUGUUUGAUAAUCUGGUAGUAAAAUGGCAUUGAAAUAAAUUUAUAUUAUGUACAUUAUGGUGAUAUAUAGGAAGAAAAUUCAUUUUACGUUUAUGUUUUGUAUUGCUAAAAGAAUAAUCAAUAUGAUAUUAAAAAAUGCUUACGUAGAUGUGAAAAUUAUUCAAGAUAUCCAUUGUUGUUACAUAGAGUUUCUACAAUUUCUAAAGACUAGGUGUGUAAAGAUAGUGAUGAAAAUCUCAAAUUUUAUGAAUAUAUAUAUAUAUAUAUAUAUAUAUCUUAAAUAAAUUCCAUAUGAUGGGGUCAUGUUUGCAUAAAUUGAAAUCCAAGCAGCUUAAUUUCAAUGCAUGCGGGACUAGAUUUGUUUUAAUGUCCCCAGAAGCUUAAUAUGAUUGUGUAUUUUUUGUUGAUUUAUGUGAAUUCUUGAAACGGCUUGUUUGCAUAUAGUCCAGAAAAUUGUCUCGUGACUAGUUAGUUCAAAUGGAAAAAAGUUAGAAAUUGCUAUAAAUCAAUGAUGUUGCUGCUAGUUGAUGUAAGAUAAUGUGGUUAAAAUUGACACGGUGAGUACUUUGGAAAUCUUGUCUUUAUUUGGUUUAUUUGAGGUAGCUUACAUGUGGAAGAGAGGAGGAAGCAACUUUUGUUGACAGUAGGAUGUGAGUUGUGAGCAAGAAAUCUCGCACGUGUAUUCUAAAGCUAAAAUAGUUUUUAAUGGACUAAUAAAAUUGUAUUUUCCUGUUAAGUGAACAUUCUUAUAACAAGAUGUUUUGAGUAAUAGUUACAUAUAUUUUGUGAAUGAAAUGACCCAUUGCUUGGUCUUAAGGUUAGGAAGUACCAGAUAUUUAGCUAGUGUUAUGACAAAUAUGUUGCCCUUAAUUAAUUGGUUUCUUCUCAUGCUUAUCCUAUUUGAUUAGAAAUGAAAGAAGAAAAAUUAAAAGAGGAACAUGUCCACCUUGCUUUGGAGCUGAUGCGUGAUUUUGAAGCAAUGGAAAGAUUAGGUGACCUCUUAUUAAAUUUUAUUUUUAACAUUUUUUAUACAUAUCUGCAUGUUUUAAGUUUUAACACUAGUCUAUGACUUUCAAGUUGGCAUACCCAUGUUGGUCUUGGGAGGAAUAUCAUUCUUACCAAGAUUUUACCGCAUUGGUUUACCUCUUAAACUCAUACAUUUUAACUAUAAUGUGCCAUUGGAACCUUUGAGAUGGAGUAACUAACUAAUUUUUUACCAUAAUGGAGGUUAGAUCAUUGGUUGAGUACCUGAGUUGAUUGGCUUUAUUUUGUUUUAUAUAUCAAAAUUUUGUUGGAAAUGCUGUAUUGUAGAUUUGGAACUCUUCUCCUUGGCCUUUGGUGAUGGCUUUGAUUGUUGGAUUUUUAAGUCUCUGAAUCAGCUUUUUUCUUAUCAUAUCUCAAUUGAUUUCAAAGCCCAAAGAAAAUACUUGAUAGUAAUUGUUAUGAUUGAAUUUGUUUUGUGAUAGGGAUAAUUGUUAUAGUAAAUACUUCUGUUUCCAGUGGGCCUUAAUUUGAUAUGACAGGUUGUUAAUCAUGCCUAUCUAUUUGGAGACCAUCUGACCAUAACGGUGUAUGAAUUUAUUGCAUUGCUCAACAUAUUUAUCAUAUAUGAGUGUUUGCAUACAAGUCCUUCUUGUUACGUUUUAGGUGCAUAGAAUUUUCCCUUUGAUUUAAUGGGUUCCCUAGUGGUAUAUAGACAGUUGAGAGUUUUGAAACAAUUCCUAUUGUGAUCCAUUUCAAGUUUAUAGAAACUUAUAUUACCAUGUUUUAUCUAAUUUUCAAUUUGUCUUGUAAUAUGUGUAGAUUCCUGUGCCAUUUUUGUGGACUUAAAAUAUAUGUUGUUCCAUAAGCAAAACUUAUGAAAACCAAGGGUGACAACAGACUUCUUUUUAUGGUUUUAUGUUGGUGGCAUGAGUGUAAUUUUUGUUCUCACAAGCAAAAAUAUACCCUAAAAGUACUUGAAGGGAACAAAUUUUUGUGGACUUAAAAUAUAUAUUUAUAUAUAUAUAUAUAUAUAUAUGUUGUUCCAUAAGCAAAACUUAUAAAAACCAAGAGUGAGACAAACUUCUUUUUAUGGUUUCAUGUUGGUGGUAUGAGUGUAAUUUUUGUUCCCUCAGGCAAAAAUAUACUGAAAAAGUACUUGAAAGGAACAAAUUGACAAAUAUAGCAUAAUUCAUCUGACUAAUGACAUCUAGAAAAAACCUGCAAUUAGACUCUUCAAAAAUUGCUAUAUAUUAUACAUUAUAGUAUCACUAAUGGUUGAUCUUUGUACUGAUUGGGUUUUGAGAUUUGACUAAAGAAAAGAAAAUUUAGUUGGGAAAAGUGAUGGCCCUUUUCUUUUUCUUUAACAAAGUUUAUGUGCUAAAUGACCCAUUGUUUUCUUGUCUGAUGUUGAAAUGUUUUGUUAAAAGUAUCAAGAUAUCAAAUCAAAGGGCUUAAUAUGAAAUCUAAAGUAGGAAUCUUCACUUUGGUAACUACUUUCUACAAUUUUCAUAAAAAAAAAAAAUAA